CGGCGCCACGAGUGGUAACCACGUUUAUUGGGCCUAAAGCGUCCGUAGCCGGUUUGGCAAAUCUUUUGUGAAAUUGUGCAGCUCAACUGUACAGCGUGCAAGAGACACUACCAAACUCGAGACCGGGAGGAGUCAGAAGUAUUCCAGGGGGAGCGGUAAAAUGUUAUAAUCCCUGGAGGACUACCUGUGGCGAAGGCGUCUGACCAGAACGGAUCUGACGGUGAGGGACGAAGGCUAGGGGAGCGAUCCGGAUUAGAUACCCGAGUAGUCC
RNAcentral lists this ribosomal RNA (271 nucleotides) under uncultured archaeon. RNAcentral's name for it is "partial 16S ribosomal RNA". It matches the Rfam family "Archaeal small subunit ribosomal RNA", at positions 477 to 747 of the family's 1478-position model. The record is from RNAcentral.